RNAcentral lists this ribosomal RNA (254 nucleotides) under uncultured bacterium. RNAcentral's name for it is "partial 16S ribosomal RNA". It matches the Rfam family "Bacterial small subunit ribosomal RNA", at positions 524 to 776 of the family's 1533-position model. The record is from RNAcentral.
UACGAGGGGGGCAAAUGUUGUUCGGAAUUACUGGGCGUAAAGGGUUCGUAGGUGGCUUACUAAGUCAGACGUGAAAUCCCUCAGCUUAACUGGGGAACUGCGUCUGAUACUGGAAAGCUUGAGUGCAGGAGAGGAACGCGGAAUUCCAGGUGUAGCGGUGAAAUGCGUAGAUAUCGAGAGGAACACCUGCGGCGAAGGCGGGUUGCUGGGCGUGACACUGACGCUGAGGCGCGAAAGCCAGGGGAGCGAACGGG